Coffea arabica (coffee) is the source of this 1177-nucleotide non-coding RNA. Lineage: Eukaryota; Viridiplantae; Streptophyta; Magnoliopsida; Gentianales; Rubiaceae. The record is from RefSeq and is a predicted model, not a curated record.
GCACUGUGAAGACCGGUGCCGGACUUCACACCGGUCUUCAUCAGACUGGUCUCACGCACGUAUUUCGUCUACGAUAAGAAACCUAUUCUGAAGAGGAUUCGAAGGCAAUUAGUGAUAAUUAUAAAUAGGGAUUUUUUAGGUCAUUUUUUGUGGGGUGGGGGAGGGGGGUAGCAACCGUAGCUCUUAGCCUAAAAACAAUUUUAUUCUCUGGAGAAGUCAAGCGUAGGAGAUCAAGCCAAGGAGCGUACAAGCGGUGAAGCAGAGCAACAAUUGAGAAGUUCCCUAGCUCCUAUUCUCUCUUUUGACUUUUUACUACAUUUUACUCAAUUCGCGUGGACCAACAGGGGUAUAAUUGUCACACUGGCUUAAUCUGCUGCAAUUAUUCACCGAGGAGGAGGAGUCCCUGAACACUUUCCCUUUUACAAAUAAUAUACAAGCUCUGCAUGCCAUUGACAUCUGAAGCAAGUAAAUCUGCAGUACUUGAUAAGGUAUCAAGAGGUUGGACUGUAUAUGUUACCACAAUCUGAGAGUCACUUUCUACGCAUCCACACAAGAGAUGCAUGGUGGCAUUCAGUCCUGCAGUGUAGUCUUCUUCUCCGCCAACUUUCCAAGCCUACCCACUAUAAAUCUGAUUAGAGACAUUUGCAAAGGUGUCGUUUCUUUGCAAAGUGUAGUCAGUAUCAUAGAAGUACCCGACAGUGCCAUUAACAUUUUUGCAAGAACAAGGUACAGUUACAAGGUAGUCAUUUCUGUUGUUGUCAGUGAUCGGCCUGAUUUGUGAUGUAUUCACCGAGUAAUAAGAAGCAAUCUGCUCUUUUUUAAAGCCAUUGUGCUGGUAAAGGUAAGAAUUGCACGUCUUGAUGCUGUUAGAGCAGGCAAAAGGAUAUAUACGACUAAUCUGAGUUGGGUAUACAGAAGUUCCCAUAAAUAGCACGCAGAGAGGGAGGAGAAAAACAAGGCAACCACAUUUCCUGGUGCCAGAAGCCAUAAGCAGCCUUGGCUGAGGUUUGUCUUGUGAAAGGAAGGAAGUAUUAUGACAGAAUCGCUAUGUAGAAAUUUCGAUGUUAACUACUUCCAUUUGUCAUUAUCUGCUUGAAGCUAUUACACGGAUUGAAUAUGUUUCGGUUCAUCUUUGAAAUGAAAAUCAACACAUCAAGAUAUGAUGGAUUUGCUGCCA